UGCUGGAAUUAUGUAAACCAUACAGGGAAUGGCUUGGUUUGAGAGCCGACGAAGGACAUGGCAAGCUGUGAAAAGCUUCGGCGAGGCGCAUGCAGCCGUCGAACCGAAGAUGUCUGAAUUACUCCGUAAGGGGAGGGAACCCGGGGAAUUGAAACAUCUCAGUACCCGGAGGAAAAGAAAGCAAUAUUGCGAUCCGGUCAGUAAGGGCGACUGAAAACCGGAAAGGGCAAACCGAAUGCGCAAUGGUGACAUUGUGUAGAUGUGGUGUUGAACGGCCCACAUAAAACCAUCUCAUAACUGGUAAAGUCCGCUGGAACGCGGCACCAUAGAGGGUGACAGUCCCGUAGCUAACCUAUGAGGUGGCAGGUGGAGUCCGAGAGUAGCGUGCAUUGGUAUUUGCGCGUGAAGCUCCCAGACAUUAACUGGGAACCCUAAAUACCUCUCAAAGCCGAUAGCGUACUAGUACCGCGAGGGAAAGCUGAAAAGGAGCCCUAACGGGCAGUGAAAAGAACCUGAAGCUGUAUGGUGAUAGUUAGAUGCAGCGAAAGUUGCAUCGUUAGUCUAGAAACAUUAGACAGGGAGUAUAUUUCUGCGGUGACCUGAAAGGGGUAGGGAAACCAAGAAUCCGCAACACUGUGAGGGAUGUGGUGUGAUCGCCAUAAAUCGCAGGAAUAUGACCUGAAGCCGUUCGAUCUAACCCUGGGCAGGAUGAAGUCCACCAACUGGUGGAUGGAGGUCUGUUACCGGUUCUAAGCUCAACUUGUUCGGGUGACCUGGGGAUAGAGGUGAAAUGCUAAUCGCGUUCGGCAAUAGCAGGUUCCAACCGAAAUUGGCCUUAGUCAAGUCUGGUCUGAGAUUGGCUGUGGGGUAGAGCACUGACUGGAAAGCCAGGAGGAGAAAUCUUUCACUUUCCUGUCAAACUCCGAACUUACAGUCGUCGUAGAAGACUGGAGACGGGGGCGGGGGGUAAGCUCCUGUCCCGAGAGGGAAACAACCCAGAUUGUGGUUAAGGCCCCAAAGUGUACACUGAGUGUAAACAAGGGCGUCUUAGGUCUAAGACAUCGAGGAGGUUAGCUCAGAAGCAGCUAUCCUCUAAGGAGUGCGUAACAGCUCACUCGCCAAGACUUAGGGCCCCUAAAAUGGACGGGACUAAGUGUACCGCCGAUACCACAAUGGACACAAAUAAUUUGUGUUUUCAGGUAGGUUGGUGUCAUGUGCGGAUAGAAGCGUGGCUUUAAGGCUGCGUGGACCGCACACGAAUAAGAAUCCUGUCAAGAGUAACAGCAAUGAAUGGUGAGAAUCCAUUCCACCUGAAGGGCCAGGGUUCCUCAACAACGUUCGUCAGUUGAGGGUUAGUCGAUCCUAAGGUAUCCGUAACUCGGAGUAACCGAAAGGGAAGCAUGUUAAUAUUCAUGCACCACAUGGGUACAUGGCAACACAAGUUUGUCACUCCGACGCUUCCGGGUCGCUCAAGCAAAGCCGUCGCUUUGUCUAAGCAAAAUAAAACUGUGGAGUACCGUAACGGUGAGAAGCAGUUUAAUUUGUGAAUGGCCUCCCGUAUGGGGGGUUUGGGUUAUCCCAGGAGUCAGUGAAAAGGAGGACAAUCGGAUCCCGUGUGAUCGUACCGAGAUCUGACACUGGUGCCCCUAGCUGAGAAGGCUCAGGUGUAGCGAGACAAAACUCUCCAUAGGGAAUUCGGCAAACUAGCCCCGUAACUUAGGGAUAAGGGGUGCCUGCCCCGGAAGGGACAGGUCGCAGAGACAGGGGGACUCCGACUGUUUAAUAAAAACGUAGGUCACCGCGAAUUCGAAAGGACUUGUAUGGUGGCUGAUACCUGCCCAGUGCUGGUAUCUCAAACUCCGGUCCAACGGAGCGAAGGACCAGUAAACGGCGGGGGUAACUAUGACCCUCUUAAGGUAGCGUAAUACCUUGCCGCUUAAUUGGCGGCUUGCACGAAGGUUUAACGAGAGUCCUGCUAUCCCAUGGAGAGGCUCGGUGAACUUACUCUUCUGGCGUACAGGCCAGAGAAUUCCAGCGGGACGCGAAGACCCCGUGGAGCUCUGCAGCAGCAUAUGGCUGAAUUGUGAUUAUUCCUGCGCAGCGUAGGUGGGAGACGUUUGAGCAAUUCGUUUCGGCGGAUUGUUAGUCGACGAUGAGACACCACCCUCGAAUGAUUACAGUUCUAACCCGAAAGGGGACACCUAUAUGUGGGCUGCUCGGGUGGGGCGCCACACCGUUGAAAGAAUAUCGACGGUAUCUAAUGGUAGGCUCAGUCGGGACAGAAAUCCGACGUAGAGGACAAGACCAAAAGCCUGCCUGACCAGAUUCCAAACACUACGGAAACUGGAGACGAAAGUCAAGUCUAGCGAACCCCGAAGUCCUCCUUAAUGGGGGCUCGGGCUGAUAGAAAAGCUACCCCGGGGAUAACUGAGUGGUAACGGGCAAGAGUACACAUCGACCCCGUUGCUUGCUACUUCGCUGUCGACUCACUGCAUCCUGGCUGUGCAGAAGCAGCCAAGGGUGGGGUUGUUCGCCCAUUAAAGCGGUACGUGAGUUGGGUUUAGAACGUCGCGAGACAGUUUGGCGGCAUCUGCUGGAAUUGUAUGUUGUCUGAGGGGAAGGAUCCAUUAGUACGAGAGGAACAUGGGACCGUGGCCUCUGGUGUAUCGGUUGUCCGACAGGGCAGCGCCGAGUAGCUACGCCGCAGCUGGUAAAGGCUGAAAGCAUCUAAGCCUGAAACAGUCCCCAAAAAUAGACAGCGUAGACGCCACCUAAAAGAGUGGUUUAAUAGGUUGGGGAUGUACGCACCAAGCCUUCGGGCGAGGUGUUUAGUCCACCAAUACUAAACGUCAUAACCGAUUCCAACA
RNAcentral lists this ribosomal RNA (2867 nucleotides) under Candidatus Altarchaeota archaeon. RNAcentral's name for it is "23S ribosomal RNA". It matches the Rfam family "Archaeal large subunit ribosomal RNA". Lineage: Archaea; Nanobdellati; Candidatus Altarchaeota. The record is from RNAcentral.